Molecule: small nuclear RNA, 106 nt
Organism: Marmota marmota marmota (Alpine marmot)
Lineage: Eukaryota; Metazoa; Chordata; Mammalia; Rodentia; Sciuridae
Source: Ensembl
UUGCUUGCUUUGCCAGCACAUAUACUAAAAUUGGAAGGUACAGAGAAGAUUAGCAUGGCCCCUAUGCUAGGAUGACAUGCAAAUUCAUGAAGCGUUCCACAGUUAG